Long non-coding RNA from Chinchilla lanigera (long-tailed chinchilla), 2716 nucleotides. RefSeq lists it as uncharacterized. The transcript has 3 exons. Lineage: Eukaryota; Metazoa; Chordata; Mammalia; Rodentia; Chinchillidae. The record is from RefSeq and is a predicted model, not a curated record.
GCCUGGAGAAACCCACUUCCGGCCGCGGCUCGGGCGAGGGUGGUUCUGCGAGGGUCUCUGUACUGAGUGAUACGGGACCCUCGUGCAGUUAGCCCCAAAUCCUAGAAAUUAAUUUCGAAGAAUAAAGAUUGCAGAACCAUCCUAUUAUCUGUAAAAGGAACCAGUUCCUUUCAUAUUUAAAUGAGUGAUAGAAGACUAUCUUGGUCAACGUCCCGCCCCAGCUCCCUGCUCCUUAAAAGCAGCAGGUCCCAAGUUCCCAGGCAUCUCUCCCUGUCUCCCUCUGCGUCACCUCCAGGCCAGCAGUGAAGAUGUGCCAGAGAACAUGCAACUCAGCACCGUAGUAAGGUUGAGAGUGAGAAAGAGAAGGAAGGGGAGAAGAAGAAAACGGAGGAGGACAGGACGGUCCCUGAGCGUGGACUCAGAAUCCUCGGGAGCAAAAAGCAAGUGUCACUGGAUAGGUUUCUUGAAAGUUGCAAGACAAGAAAAAGCUCCCACUGAGCCGAGAGAGCAGUGACUGUGUCAUGAAAGUCGCUCUACACAAUAACCCUCUUCUCUUACCUCCCUCACGCCAGCCACAGGGUUUUCAAAGAUAAGUGCAGCCACAGAUUCGAAAGCCAUUUCUGCUGUGAACCAGGGCUGAUGCCCAGUAGGUAAGUAAAAGCGGAAAGAAGUUUGACUUUCACUUUGUAUCCGCCAUUACUGUAAAUCAUGGGUCAAAUCUCUUUCAGCUCUCUAUAUGGAUAUGUUAAUCAUUUAGGGCUGGCCAUCUUUUUACGGCUGAGCAGUAUUCCAAAACCAGGCACAGUGGUGCACCCCUAUAAUCUCAGCACUCCGGAGACUGAGAAAGGAGGAUCAUUAUGAGUUUAAGGCCAGCCUGGACCACGCAGUGACAGCCUGUCUCAAAAAUCAAAACAAUAGAAUUCCAUUGUGUCUAGGUACCACAUUGUCUCUACCAUUCAGGCAUGGUGGAAAUUUUGGUUGACUUCCUAUCUUGGCCGUUUUGAAUAGUGCUGUAGUAAAGAUGGGAAUGUAGAUGUCUUUUGGACAUAUUGAUUUUAAUUUCUUUAGCUAAAUCACCAGUAGUAGGAUUGUUGGAUCACACACUAGUGCUAGUUUUUUACUGUUUCCAUGGCUAUACUAAUUUCAACACCCCCCUACACAGCGUUUUUUUCUUUACAGCCUCUCAACUGCUUAUCUUUUACCCUAUUCAUAACAGCCAUUAUAACAGGUGUGGCAUUAUCUCACUGUGGUAUUAAUUUGUAUUUCUCUAGUGAUUAGUGAUGUUGAGCAUUUAUUUAUAUACCUGUUAGCCAUUUGUGUCGUUUGAGAAAUGUCCAUUUGGAGGUUUUGCCCAUUUAUAUCAGAUUUUUUUGUUUGUUUUUCUUACUAUUAAGUUCUUUGUAUAUUUUGGAUAUUGAUCCCUUAUCAGAUACCUACUUUUCUCCUACUUCAUAGUGUCCCUUCACUCUACUGAUGCCUUUCCUUUUUGGUUUGAUGUAAUUCCAUCUAUAAGGUGAUAAAUAAUAGUGAAUUUUUAAAAAGCUUCUUAUAGUAAAGGAAACUGCCAUUAAUCCCCCUCAAAAUACUCUUCCUCAGUUUGAACACUUGUUGUUGUCAAAUGUUUUUUCAUCUAUGAAUAUGAUGAGUGAUUUUUUGGACUGUUAUUUAUUAUUUUAAAACUCAAAUGUAGAAUCAGCCCAGCAUAUCUGGGAGAAAUCCUCCUUAGUUGUGGUAUAUAACUUUUUAUACAGUGUUAAAUUCUAUCUGCCAAUGUUUUAUUAAGGCUUUUGUGUUUAUGUUCACGACAAACAUCGAUCUGUUGCUACUUUUUAAUGUCUUGUCUGGUUUUGGUGUUGGGAUAAUGCUGGCCUCACAGAAUGGUAGGAAGUAUUCUCUGCUUCUACCUUCUGGAAUAGAGUGUAGAAAAUUCAUAAAAUUAUUUUCUUAAAUGUUUGAAUUCACCAGCAAACCCAUCAGGUCUUUUUUUUUUUCUUUCCUGGAAGGUAACUGACUCAAUUUCCUUAAUAAAUACAGUCCUAUUAAGAUUAUUUCUCCUUUUGUGAGUUUUGGUGUAUUUUAUUUUCAGAGUACUGAUCCAUCCAUCCAAGUCAUGGCAUCUGUGGGCAAAGUUGCUAACAUUCCUUCACCACCUCUCAAUGCCCCUGGGAUAAGUAGUAAUGGCCCCCUCUCACUUCCAACACAGCUGCUUUUUAGUAUUAUAGGUGUGUUUGUAGACUCCAAGAGCUUUCUAGAUGUUGCGAAGGUCUUUGGUUAGUCUCCCCAGUUCAUCUCCACACCCUGACUUUCUGUUCUACUGGCCCUCUGAAUUAACUUUGAUGCUCAUGUGUUAAGGGGGGAAAAAAGAGGCCAGGAAGCCCACUGAAAAGAUAGCGUAACAAAUUACACAAGUCCUGCCUGAGGUUUCUAACAGUUAUUUAGAUGUUCUAGAGACUGUCUGGGAGAAGGGAAUGCUAGACAUUAUUGGCUGAGUAUAAACUGUCUUCACAGUAGAAGAAAAGUGGCUUUUGGGUUGUAUGCCUAAUUUCAAAAUUGCAUUGUGCAAUACAAGUCAGCAUUCUAGAAAAACACGGGGAAAGGGCACUUUGUGCCGAGAAAGCCCAGACAAGUCAGGAUAUAAACAAAACGUGAGAGAAUUUGUGGCUUACGGUUUUAGUGAAGAUGGAAAGCUAUAUGGAUCGAUUUUUUUGACAAAAAA